Molecule: ribosomal RNA, 253 nt
Filed under: uncultured bacterium
Lineage: Bacteria
Description: partial 16S ribosomal RNA
Rfam family: Bacterial small subunit ribosomal RNA
Source: RNAcentral
UACGUAGGCAGCGAGCGUUGUUCGGAGUUACUGGGCGUAAAGAGUGCGUAGGCGGUUUUCUAAGUUUGGUGUGAAAUCUCCCGGCUUAACUGGGAGGGUGCGCCGAAAACUGGAAGGCUUGAGUAUGGGAGAGGUAAGCGGAAUUCCUGGUGUAGCGGUGAAAUGCGUAGAUAUCAGGAGGAACACCUGCGGUGUAGACGGCUUACUGGACCAUAGCUGACGCUGAGGCACGAAAGCGUGGGUAGCAAACAGG